RNAcentral lists this small RNA (96 nucleotides) under Flavobacterium swingsii. RNAcentral's name for it is "Flavo-1 RNA". It matches the Rfam family "Flavo-1 RNA". Lineage: Bacteria; Pseudomonadati; Bacteroidota; Flavobacteriia; Flavobacteriales; Flavobacteriaceae. The record is from RNAcentral.
AUUUAGCCCUGAUGGAAGUGAAAAUCCUUUAUAUACCUGACAGGUUUUAAAAACCUGUCAGGUAUAUAAAGAUUGUAACGAACAGCAGGAAAAUGG